This 330-nucleotide small nucleolar RNA is filed under the name Notamacropus eugenii (tammar wallaby). Lineage: Eukaryota; Metazoa; Chordata; Mammalia; Diprotodontia; Macropodidae. The record is from RNAcentral.
GCCAUUUGAUGAUAUCAAGGCUGUUGUUACUUGGCUGGUCUGGUUGAGCCCUAGGACCCUGACCUUUCAUCCAGGUCUGUAAUCUUGGUGGGCAAUACAGAGAUGUGUUUGUUUGCUGUAAGGGCAGACCAACAGGAAGUUCCACCUCUUUUUUGCUCCCAUCUUCCCCCUAAGGGGAGUGAUCCUGGUUACCACAGAAAGAUGCUGGUAGCUAGAGUUGGGCAGAGGUAACAGGGCAAGCCUAGGGUAUGGAGGUCCAGGGUCCCAGAAGGCUUAGCUUAUAUUAUAGCCACCAAGAGAUGAGCACAGAUCUUUGGUAAUCUGAUGGCU